RNAcentral lists this ribosomal RNA (1380 nucleotides) under Metaperipatus inae. RNAcentral describes it as "SSU rRNA". It matches the Rfam family "Eukaryotic small subunit ribosomal RNA", at positions 52 to 1257 of the family's 1831-position model. Lineage: Eukaryota; Metazoa; Onychophora; Udeonychophora; Euonychophora; Peripatopsidae. The record is from RNAcentral.
UGCACGUCUAAGUACUCGCCUUGUCUAUAAAGUGAAACCGCGAAUGGNUNNNNNNUCAGUUAUGGUUCACUAGACAGUACCUCAUCCUACNCGGAUAACUGUGGUAAUUCUAGAGCUAAUACAUGCAACUAGGCCCCGCCCGGCGUGCUGUGCUCGUCGCGGUACGUCGGAAAGGGCGCCAUUAUCAGCCCAAAACCGACCGGGUCGCUUCCCUUCCCUUCACCGGGUUGUGGAAUGCUCCCGUCCUUAUACCCUUUGACGACUCUGGAUAACCUGUCAGCGGAUCGCUGGGUAACUAGGUCUCCGGUGGGUAUAGGGUUAAGGGGUUUUCCAACUCCUUUUCCCGCCUGCCGGUCAUGACCUACAGCGACCAGUCUUUCAAAUGUCUGCCUUAUCAACUGUCGACGGUAGGUUAGACGCCUACCGUGGUCGUAACGGGUGACGGGGAAUCAGGGUUCGAUUCCGGAGAGGGAGCCUGAGAAACGGCUACCACAUCCAAGGAAGGCAGCAGGCACGCAAAUUACCCAAUCCCAGCACUGGGAGGUAGUGACGAAAAAUAACGAUACGGGACUCUUAACGAGGCCUCGUAAUCGGAAUGAGUCCGCUCUAAAUCCUUUAACGAGGAUCUAUCGGAGGGCAAGUCUGGUGCCAGCAGCCGCGGUAAUUCCAGCUCCGAUAGCGUAUAUUAAAGUUGCUGCGGUUAAAAAGCUCGUAGUUGGAUUUGGGUUUUCGGGCCGGCAGGCCGCCGCCUUCGAGCGGCGCGUUUCCCGCCGCGCCCCCGGAACCGCACGGUCGCAGAGGCCCCCGCGGUGCUCUUCAGUGAGUGUCCGCGGUCUCGGGUCGCCGAACGUUUACUUUGAAAAAAUUAGAGUGCUCCAGGCAGGCCGGAUAAAGCGUUUUUAAACACCGCGCCUGAAUAGUCACGCAUGGAAUAAUGAAAGAGGACCGGUGGUCCUAUUUUGUUGGUUUUAAGGAUUUUCCGCCGUCAUGAUUAAGAGGGACGGCCGGGGGCAUUCGUACCGCGGCGCGAGAGGUGAAAUUCUAGGACCGUCGCGAGACGAACCGUUGCGAAAGCAUUUGCCAAGAAUGUUUUCCUUAAUCAAGAACGAAAGUCAGAGGUUCGAAGGCGAUCAGAUACCGCCCUAGUUCUGACCGUAAACGAUGCCACCUGACGAUCCGCCAGGGUUACUACCAUGACUCGGCGGGCAGUCCCCGGGAAACCCAAGCCUUCGGGUUCCGGGGGAAGUAUGGUUGCAAAGCUGAAACUUAAAGGAAUUGACGGAAGGGCACCACCAGGAGUGGAGCCUGCGGCUUAAUUUGACUCAACANNNNGNNCCUCACCCGGCCCGGACACCGCGAGGAUUGACAGAUUGAGAGCUC